CCCGGUUGAUCCUGCCAGAGGUUACUGCUAUCAGGGUUUGAUUAAGCCAUGCAAGUUAUGUGUUUUUUGUAAACACGGCGAACUGCUCAGUAACACGCGGAUAAUCUGCCCUCAGGUUUGGGAUAACCCCGGGAAACUGGGGAUAAUACCAAAUGUUUCAAGGUUGCUGGAAUGCUCUUUGAUUGAAAGCUUCGGUGCCUGAGGAUGAGUCUGCGGCCUAUCAGGUUGUAGUGGGUGUAACGUACCUACUAGCCAGCGACGGGUACGGGUUGUGAGAGCAAGAGCCCGGAGAUGGAUUCUGAGACAUGAAUCCAGGCCCUACGGGGUGCAGCAGGCGCGAAACCUUUACAAUGCGCGAAAGCGCGAUAAGGAGACCCUGAGUGCUAGCACAUAGUGCUGGCUGUCCAGCUGUCUAAAAAGCAGUUGUUAGCAAGGGCCGGGCAAGACCGGUGCCAGCCGCCGCGGUAACACCGGCGGCCCGAGUGGUAACCGAUUUUAUUGGGCUUAAAGCGUUCGUAGCCGGUUUAGUAAGUUUCUUAGGAAAUCUAGCAGCUUAACUGUUAGACGUCUAAGAGAUACUGCUAUGACUUGGGACCGGGAGAGGUAGGAGGUACUCCAGGGGUAGGGGUGAAAUCUUGUAAUCCUUGGGGGACCAUCGAUGGCGAAGGCAUCCUACCAGAACGGGUUCGACGGUGAGGGACGAAAGCUGGGGGCACAAACCGGAUUAGAUACCCGGGUAGUCCCAGCUGUAAACGAUGCUCGCUAGGUGUCAGAUACGGUGCGUCCGUAUUUGGUGCCGUAGGGAAACCGUGCGCGAGCCGCCUGGGAAGUACGGUCGCAAGGCUGAAACUUAAAGG
This 857-nucleotide ribosomal RNA is filed under the name uncultured euryarchaeote. Its description in RNAcentral is "bacterial SSU rRNA". It matches the Rfam family "Archaeal small subunit ribosomal RNA", at positions 1 to 862 of the family's 1478-position model. The record is from RNAcentral. Lineage: Archaea; Methanobacteriati; Methanobacteriota.